GCGGAGGGCCGGACGGCCGCGACGCCCCGCAAGGGGUAUCGAGGAAAGUCCGGACUCCCGUCGGACACGGUGCCGGGUAACGCCCGGCCGGGGCAACCCGAGGGACAGCGCCACAGAGAACAGACCGCCGUCCUCCGGGGCGGCAAGGGUGAAACGGUGGGGUAAGAGCCCACCGGGGGACGGGCAACCGGACCCGCAUGGCAAGCCCCACCGGGAGCAAUGCCGAAUAGGGGCCUCGUGCCCGGCGCGAGCCGGGGCAGGGACGUCCGACCCCGAGAGGCCCGGGUAGGCAGCUGGAGGCGCGCGGCGACGCGCGCCCGAGAGGAAUGGUCGUCGCCCCGACCCGUGCCCCCCCGGGGCGUGGCGCCGGGGACACAGAAUCCGGCUUACAGGCCCUCCGCGCGA
This 405-nucleotide RNase P RNA is filed under the name Wenxinia saemankumensis. RNAcentral's name for it is "Bacterial RNase P class A". It matches the Rfam family "Bacterial RNase P class A". From Rfam's summary of the family: Ribonuclease P (RNase P) is a ubiquitous endoribonuclease, found in archaea, bacteria and eukarya as well as chloroplasts and mitochondria. Its best characterised activity is the generation of mature 5'-ends of tRNAs by cleaving the 5'-leader elements of precursor-tRNAs. Cellular RNase Ps are ribonucleoproteins. Lineage: Bacteria; Pseudomonadati; Pseudomonadota; Alphaproteobacteria; Rhodobacterales; Roseobacteraceae. The record is from Rfam by way of RNAcentral.